Long non-coding RNA from Rosa chinensis, 344 nucleotides. RefSeq lists it as uncharacterized. The transcript is spliced from 3 exons. NCBI's taxonomy places the organism in Eukaryota, Viridiplantae, Streptophyta, Magnoliopsida, Rosales, Rosaceae. The record is from RefSeq and is a predicted model, not a curated record.
UAGGAGAGGAAAAUCAGAAACUGCUCGUGCUCAGUACAUAAACACAAAGGAUGUGAGGCUGACAAUAAGCACUUGGAAUGUUGCUGGAAGAGUUCCGGAUGAAAACCUUGAUAUUGAUGAUUGGAUUUCUUUAGAAGAGCCAUCGGACAUCUACAUUUUCGGGUGAAAACAGAAGAACAAAUGGGAUAUAAGUAUGGCGAGGCUUGCUUUCGUUUAUGUUUCUAGUAUUAUGUACCAUUUAGACUUAAAUUUUUGUUUUAUUUCGACAUGUUAUGCAUAGAAAUACUUGGGAUGUUGUUAUGUACUUUGAGCAUCAAUAUUAAUCAAAAUUUAUUUACUUACGA